ACGGGAGGCAGCAGUGGGGAAUAUUGGGCAAUGGGGGAAACCCUGACCCAGCAACGCCGCGUGGAGGAAGACGGUUUUCGGAUCGUAAACUCCUGUCCUUGGUGAAGAGGAGAAGACGGUAGCCAAGGAGGAAGCCCCGGCUAACUACGUGCCAGCAGCCGCGGUAAUACGUAGGGGGCAAGCGUUGUCCGGAAUGAUUGGGCGUAAAGGGCGCGUAGGCGGCCCGGUAAGUCUGAAGUGAAAGUCCUGCCUUUAAGGUGGGAAUUGCUUUGGAUACUGUCGGGCUUGAGUGCAGGAGAGGUUACUGGAAUUCCCAGUGUAGCGGUGAAAUGCGUAGAGAUUGGGAGGAACACCAGUGGCGAAGGCGAGUAACUGGACUGUAACUGACACUGAGGCACGAAAGCGUGGGGAGCAAACAGGAUUAGAUACCCUGGUA
Molecule: ribosomal RNA, 436 nt
Filed under: uncultured bacterium
Lineage: Bacteria
Description: partial 16S ribosomal RNA
Rfam family: Bacterial small subunit ribosomal RNA
Source: RNAcentral